GACGAACGCUGGCGGCGUGGAUUAGGCAUGCAAGUCGAACGGUAUCAUCCUUUCGGGGGUGAGAGAGUGGCGAACUGGUGAGUAACACGUAGGUUAUCUACCCUCAAGACGGGGACAACCCAGGGAAACUUGGGCUAAUACCGGAUGUGAGCAACUUUUAGUUGUUUGAAAGGUGGCGUAAGCUGUCGCUUGGGGAUGAGCCUGCGUCCUAUUAGUUAGUUGGUGAGGUAACGGCUCACCUAGGCAAUGAUAGGUAGGCGGCCUUAACGGGUGGUCGCCCACACUGGGAUUGAGAUACGGCCCAGACUCCUACGGGAGGCAGCAGUCGAGAAUAGUCUACAAUGGCCGGAAGGCUGAUAGUGCGACGCCGCGUGAACGAGGGAGCCCUUCGGGUGUAAAGUUCUUUUCUAUACGAGCAGUGCUAUAUAUAUGGAUAGUAUAUAUAGAGGGAUAGUAGUAUAGGAAUAAGCAACGGCUAACUCCGUGCCAGCAGCCGCGGUAAUCAUACUCG
This 511-nucleotide ribosomal RNA is filed under the name uncultured bacterium. RNAcentral's name for it is "bacterial SSU rRNA". It matches the Rfam family "Bacterial small subunit ribosomal RNA", at positions 28 to 529 of the family's 1533-position model. The record is from RNAcentral.